GACGAACGCUGGCGGCGUGCUUAACACAUGCAAGUCGAACGAAGAGCGAUGGGAGCUUGCUUCUAUCAAUCUUAGUGGCGAACGGGUGAGUAACGCGUAAUCAACCUGCCCUUCAGGGGGGGACAACAGUUGGAAACGACUGCUAAUACCGCAUACGAUCUGACCUCGGCAUCGAGGAUAGAUGAAAGGUGGCCUCUACAUGUAAGCUAUCACUGAAGGAGGGGAUUGCGUCUGAUUAGCUGGUUGGAGGGGUAACGGCCCACCAAGGCGAUGAUCAGUAGCCGGUCUGAGAGGAUGAACGGCCACAUUGGGACUGAGACACGGCCCAGACUCCUACGGGAGGCAGCAGUGGGGAAUCUUCCGCAAUGGACGAAAGUCUGACGGAGCAACGCCGCGUGAGUGAUGACGGCCUUCGGGUUGUAAAGCUCUGUUAAUCGGGACGAAAGGCCUUUUUGCGAAUAGUGAGAAGGAUUGACGGUACCGGAAUAGAAAGCCACGGCUAACUACGUG
RNAcentral lists this ribosomal RNA (510 nucleotides) under uncultured bacterium. RNAcentral describes it as "partial 16S ribosomal RNA". It matches the Rfam family "Bacterial small subunit ribosomal RNA", at positions 28 to 507 of the family's 1533-position model. The record is from RNAcentral.